UCAAUUAGCAUGUCAGAACGAAGUCCACUGUCCACUUAAGCCAUAAAACGUCUUGGUUACGUAUGUAACCCUCGUUCCCUGAAGGAGGGAACGGAGACGUUACGAAUGGGAUCUCGCCCGAGAGCCCAAUCACCUUCGAGUGGUACAAAACGAGCCAAUGGUACGCAAAGUACCUUGGUCUGCGGGAUUUGCAUCGCGAGCUCCGCCCCGCAAAGCGGGUAUAUAAGGAGCAACGCGAGCAACUCGCAUUCAAGUCUUCGCUGAGGAGCCGAGCCAGUGACCCGGCCAUUCAGCGGAACAGCGAUGUGGCAAGGGGACGUAACGUCUCCGUUCCCUCCUUCAGGGAACGAGGGUUACAUACGUAACCAAGAGGUUCCCUUUCAGUCGGUCACGUUCGACGUUACGAAUGGGGUCCCUUACAAAACGCCACAUGGCUGUCUUCCAGCGACCCUUGUGAGUGAUAGCACCCUGUCGUGAGGCCAGCACGAGUGAGGGCCUAUAGCUCGUACAGAAUACACUGGGUAGCAUAUUCCAGCUGGAUGUAUGCUAGCAGGCCGCCUGCCCGUGGGAGGACUUACCGAAGGCAGGUAUCUACCAAGGCGGUGAUACAUAAGAACUCUGAGGUACCCAGCCCGCAGGGUGGAAGUUUCAACGACAGAGCUGGCAAGGGGCUUGCCAAGGGAAAGACACAUGCUGCAGAGAGACUUACUGUGGAGAUACACACGUGGGAUUACCCAGAAGAGGGGAAUCACAACACAUGGAGGCACCUAGUCCCACACAGGGCUGACCAAAGGGCAUGUACGCAAGUGUUGGACAUCAACAGUGCUGGAGGAACCCAGGGUUCCGACUGAUAGAACCACUGCGAGGUCCCAAGAGGGGACUUGCUGAGGGCGAGGCGGGUUAAGCCUCCUUGCUCCUCUCAGGAACCUGAUGAUCAGAUCGUGCCUCCCAAGAGACUUACCUUCAACAGGGUCAUGGUGAGCCGAAAUGGCGGCCACAUAGACUUUGAGGGUGGAAGGAGACAGCCUUCGUUCCAACCCCUCCUGAAGAAAGGAAAGCACUGACCCAAUCGGACAUUUCCAGGGGUCCUCACGCCGUGAAGAACACCAAGUGACGAAGAGGUUCCAUUUCAAAGCAUAGGCGUGUCUGGUGGACAUGGCUCUAGCUGAAGUGAUGGUAGCUACCACCUGUGGUGGCAAGGUACCUAAACCUUCCGUGACCCGUCCAGAACCCACACAUGUAGGUUCCACAGAUCGGGACGUGGGUGCCAGAGGGUGCCCCGUCUCUGAGAAAGAAGGUCCUUCCUCAGAGGAAUUGGCCAGGGAGGGGCUGUCGCGAGGAGUACAAGUUCGGGGAACCAGGUCCGGCCGGGCCAAAAAGGCGCAACCAUGAGGACCUGCUCCUCGUCCUCCCUGAUCUUGCACAACGUCUGUGCAAGAAGGCUCACUGGGGGAACGCAUACUUGCGCAGGCCCAGCGGCCAGCUGUGUGCCAGGGCGUCCGUGCCGAGGGUGCCCUCGGUCAGGGAGUAAAACAACUGGCAGUGGGAAUUUUCUGGAGAGGCAAACAGGUCUACCUGAGCGUCUCCGAAGUGUUCCCAAAUCAGCUGAACCGACUGGGGGUGGAGUCUCCAUUCCCGGGGCGAGACUGCUGCCGUGAGAGCUCGUCGGCUGCACGAUUGAGCCUGCCCGGGAUGUGAAUGGCACGAGCGACCUCAGAUGCUUGUGACUCCACAAGAGGAGAUGGCGAGCGAGUUGCGACAUGCGGCGGGAGCGUAGACCACCCUGACGGUUGAUGUACGCUACGGUCGCAGUGUUGUCCGUACGGACCAGAACGUGCUUGUCCUUCAGCAGGGCCCUGAAGCGGUGCAGAGCAAGACGUACUGCUAGCAACUCGAGGCAAUUGACAUGCCACUGAAGUCGGGGUCCUGUCCAGGAGCCCGAUGCAGCAUGCCCGUUGCACAUGGCACCCCAGCCCGUGGCAGAGGCAUCUGUUGACACAACAACAUGUCUGGACACCGGUUGUAGGGGCACGCCGGCCCGUAGAAACAAGGGGUCCAACCACGGGGUGAAGUUUCGGCGGCAGGCCGGAGUGAUGGUCACUCGGAGCGUGCCCCGUUGCCAUGCCCAUCUCGGGACUCGGUCGUGAAGCCAGUGCUGAAGCGGUCUCAUAUGGAGUAACCCGAGUGGUAUGACUGCCGCCGCGGACGCCAUAUGCCCCAGGAGCCUCUGAAACAGUUUCAGUGGAACCGCUCUCUUGCCCUCGAAUUGUCUCAGGCAAUUCAGCAGUGACUGCGUGCGCUCGUCUGUAAGCUGCGCGAACAUGGCGACCGAGUCUAUUUCCAUACCGAGAAAAGAGAUCCUCUGCACAGGGGAGAGCUUGCUCUUUUCCCAGUUGACCUGAAGACCCAGUCGGGCAAGGUGUCUGAGCACCAGAUCCCUGUGCUCGCACAACCGUUCUCGAGAGUGAGCUAGGAUCAGCCAGUCGUCGAGGUAGUUGAGGAUACGGACACCUUGUUCCCUGAGAGGAGCCAGGGCUCCCUCCGCGACCUUCGUAAAGACGCGGGGAGACAGGGCCAACCCGAAUGGGAGAACCUUGUACUGAUAUGCCUGCCCCUCGAAAGCAAACCGAAGAAACGGUCUGUGUCGAGGAAGAAUGGAGACAUGAAAGUACGCGUCCUUCAGGUCGAUCGCUGCAAACCAAUCCAUAGGACGAAUGCAUUCGAAAAUGCGCUUGGGCGUUAGCAUCUUGAACGGGAGUCUUUGCAGAGCUCGGUUCAAAACACGCAAGUCCAGGAUUGGCCGUAACCCACCUGUCUUCUUGGGUACUAUGAAGUAAGGGCUGUAAAAGCCGGACUUCAUGUCGGCUGGAGGGACCGGCUCUAUCGCGCCCUUUGCCAGCAGGGUCGCGACCUCCGCGCGCAUGACAGGGGCAUCCUUGCCCACCAUCGUCGCGCGGACACCCCGAAACCUGGGGGGACGCCGGGCGAACUGAAUCGCGUAGCCGAGCCUGAGCGUCCGGAUGAGCCAGCGGGAAGGCCUGGGGAGCUCUAGCCAGGCUCCCAGAAACCGAACCAGCGGGGUCAAGGGGACUACAGGCGUACCCACGGUGGGGCAGCGUGGUGGAGCAGACAGCCCCAGCAUGGGAGGCAUAGCGUCCCUUAGCGGGGGCGGAGUGCGGGCACUCGUCUGACUCCAAGCAGCAAAGAGGGCAUGAGAAGGCGAAGCGUUCUCGAGCCGGCUUUGCAUAGAAACUGGCAAGGGGAGAGGAGAACGAGAGCGGCGAGGAAGCACGUCGCCAACUGUCGUUCGUGGCCUCUUGGGACCCGGAGGUAGAGGAAACAGCUCUUUUAGUGAAGGUUUGGUACCACCGGCCGCAGGGCCAGUGGCGGAACAAAAUGAAAAUGAGAACAAAGGAUUCUCCCCCGGCCCUCCUCCGGGGGAAGGAGUGGUCCUGCUACCAUCUCCUGACGAGCUGACGUCUCCAACUCCGGGUCGCCGUCUCAGGAACGCCGCUUGGCCUGGCGUUUGGCAGGCUUAGGGGCAGAGACGGGUUGCGCCGCCCUUCUGCGGCCAUCUCCUCGCUGCGGCCGGGGUGAAGGCUGCUGCUGUGGCCGAGCGGGAGUGGAGGAGGCCACAGGGGGGCGCCCUCGGCGACGAGCAGGCUGCGGCGGCUGCGGCGGCUGCGCCGGCGGCGGGGUGAAAGCAGCAGUGGGCCGCCGGGGCAGGAUGUGUCUGAUGGCCUCAGACUGCUUCUGGGCGGCAGAGAACUGCUGGGCAAAGCUCUCUACCGAGUCGCCGAAGAGGCCAUCCUGGGAGACCGGGGAGUUGAGGAGCUGAGCCCGAUCAGACUCCCUCAUAUCUGCCAGGUUCAGCCAUAGGUGGCGCUCCUGGACCACCAAAGUGGACAUCACCUGACCCAAGGAGCGCGCAGUGACCUUCGUCGCCCGGAGAGCGAGGUCGGUAGCAGUGCGUGCCUCCUGCAAAACCCCUGGGUCAGCACUGCCCUCGUGCAGCUGCCGGAGCAGCUUGGCCUGAUAGACCUGAAGUGAGGCCAUGGCAUGCAAGGCAGAGGCGGCCUGGCCCGCAGCUCUGUAAGCCUUGGCCACAAGAGUGGAUGAGAACUUACAGGCCUUGGAGGGCAGCUUGGGACCACCACGCCAAGCGGAGGCGCUCUGUGGACACAGUUGCAUCGCAACAGAACGCUCCACCGGGGGAAUCCCAGCAUACCCCUUGGCCGCCCCCACCAUCGAGGGCAGUGAAGGCGGAGGAAGUACCAGAACGGUUUCG
Molecule: long non-coding RNA, 4288 nt
Organism: Cyprinus carpio carpio
Lineage: Eukaryota; Metazoa; Chordata; Actinopteri; Cypriniformes; Cyprinidae
Source: Ensembl